Molecule: ribosomal RNA, 450 nt
Filed under: uncultured Gammaproteobacteria bacterium
Lineage: Bacteria; Pseudomonadati; Pseudomonadota; Gammaproteobacteria
Description: bacterial SSU rRNA
Rfam family: Bacterial small subunit ribosomal RNA
Source: RNAcentral
GGCCUAACACAUGCAAGUCGAGCGGCAGCGGGAAAGUAGCUUGCUACUUUUGCCGGCGAGCGGCGGACGGGUGAGUAAUGCCUGGGGAUCUGCCCAGUCGAGGGGGAUAACAGUUGGAAACGGCUGCUAAUACCGCAUACGCCCUACGGGGGAAAGCAGGGGACCUUCGGGCCUUGCGCGAUUGGAUGAACCCAGGUGGGAUUAGCUAGUUGGUGGGGUAAUGGCUCACCAAGGCGACGAUCCCUAGCUGGUCUGAGAGGAUGAUCAGCCACACUGGAACUGAGACACGGUCCAGACUCCUACGGGAGGCAGCAGUGGGGAAUAUUGCACAAUGGGGGAAACCCUGAUGCAGCCAUGCCGCGUGUGUGAAGAAGGCCUUCGGGUUGUAAAGCACUUUCAGCGAGGAGGAAAGGUUGAUGCCUAAUACGCAUCAGCUGUGACGUUACUCGC